CUGCCGUUUGCUGCUGGCUCCCCGCCGUGGCAGCUGGCUCGGUUCCACCAGGCUCCGCCCUCCUCUUGCUUGAUCUUCACCUUGCAUCAUGCACACAGGUGCGAUUAUCUGUGCAGAAGGAUCUGGUGAAGUUGACUCAUUGAUGUUUAUAAAUCAAAACCAAAAAUACUCCUCCUUUCUGAAUGUUGAACUUGACAUCUGCUCGUCCCGGCUGAGGAGGCUCUACCCCACAUUCCUACAAAUGUGGAAUCGAACAGGCAUGUUGGUGGCAUCUCCAAACAGACUUGGAGAGCUUAUGCAGGCUAUCAGGAGAGGACACGACCUCUCC
This 328-nucleotide long non-coding RNA is filed under the name Mustela putorius furo (domestic ferret). Its description in RNAcentral is "lncRNA (ENSMPUG00000024475.1)". Lineage: Eukaryota; Metazoa; Chordata; Mammalia; Carnivora; Mustelidae. The record is from RNAcentral.